RNAcentral lists this ribosomal RNA (1209 nucleotides) under Coxiella endosymbiont of Amblyomma cajennense. RNAcentral's name for it is "bacterial SSU rRNA". It matches the Rfam family "Bacterial small subunit ribosomal RNA", at positions 209 to 1412 of the family's 1533-position model. Lineage: Bacteria; Pseudomonadati; Pseudomonadota; Gammaproteobacteria; Legionellales; Coxiellaceae. The record is from RNAcentral.
GACCUCGCGCUAAAAGAUGAGCCUACGUCGGAUUAGUUAGUUGGUGGAGUAAUAGCCUACCAAGACGAUGAUCCGUAGCUGGUCUGAGAGGAUGAUCAGCCACACUGGGACUGAGACACGGCCCAGACUCCUAUGGGAGGCAGCAGUGGGGAAUAUUGGACAAUGGGGGAAACCCUGAUCCAGCGAUGCCGCGUGUGUGAAGAAGGCCUUCGGGUUGUAAAGCACUUUCAGUAGGGAAGAAAUCCUUAAAGCUAAUAUCUUUAAGAGUUGACGUUACCUACAGAAGAAGCACUGGCUAACUCUGUGCCAGCAGCCGCGGUAAUACAGAGAGUGCAAGCGUUAAUCGGAAUUACUGGGCGUAAAGCGCGCGUAGGUGGAUUUUCAAGUCGGGUGUGAAAGCCCUAAGCUUAACUUAGGAAUUGCAUCUGAUACUGAAUGUCUCGAGUAUAGUAGAGGGAAGUGGAAUUUCCGGUGUAGCGGUGAAAUGCGUAGAUAUCGGAAAGAACACCAGUGGCGAAGGCGGCUUCCUGGACUAAUACUGACACUGAGGUGCGAAAGCGUAGGGAGCAAACAGGAUUAGAGACCCUGGUAGUCCACGCUGUCAACGAUGAGAACUAGCUGUUGGAAAAUCUAUUUUCUGGUAGCGAAGCUAACGCGUUAAGUUCUCCGCCUGGGGAGUACGACCGCAAGGUUAAAACUCAAAGAAAUUGACGGGGGCCCGCACAAGCGGUGGAGCAUGUGGUUUAAUUCGAUGCAACACGAAAAACCUUACCUACCCUUGACAUCCUCGGAACUUGUCAGAGAUGACUUGGUGCCUUCGGGAGCCGAGUGACAGGUGCUGCAUGGCUGUCGUCAGCUCGUGUCGUGAGAUGUUGGGUUAAGUCCCGUAACGAGCGCAACCCUUGUCCUUAGUUGCCAGCGGUUAGGCCGGGAACUCUAAGGAGACUGCCGGUGAUAAACCGGAGGAAGGUGAGGAUGAUGUCAAGUCAUCAUGGCCCUUAUGGGUAGGGCUACACACGUGCUACAAUGGGCAGUACAGAGGGUUGCCAAAUCGCGAGAUGGAGCUAAUCCCAGAAAACUGUUCGUAGUCCGGAUUGGAGUCUGCAACUCGACUCUAUGAAGCUGGAAUCGCUAGUAAUCGCGAAUCAGAAUGUCGCGGUGAAUACGUUCUCGGGCCUUGUACACACCGCCCGUCACACCAUGGGAGUG